Molecule: long non-coding RNA, 685 nt
Filed under: Rattus norvegicus (Norway rat)
Lineage: Eukaryota; Metazoa; Chordata; Mammalia; Rodentia; Muridae
Description: long non-coding RNA NONRATT025182
Source: RNAcentral
AGGCUUUUUAAAUUUUUUAUUAUUUACUAUUAUGUGCAUAGGUGUUUUGUCUGCAUGUAUGUCUCUGUGAGGAUGUCGGGUGUCCUGGAACUGGAGUAACAGACAGUUGUGUGCUGGGAAUUGAACCUGGAUCCUCUGGAAGAGCAGCCAGUGCUCUUAUCAUCCAAGUCAUCACCCCUUGGCUUUAUUUAUAUAAACACACUUUUUAAAAAUUUUCAUAUGAGUGUAUGUGUGUCUGUGUGUGUGCCUGUGUGUGUGCACACGCACAUGCGUGUGACACAUGCAUGCCUGGCACCAGUGGAGGCCAGAAGAGGGUAUCCAAUCCCCUAGAAUUAGAGUUACAAGUGGCUGUUAGCUUCCUAAUAGGGUUUCUGGGAACUGAAUUCAGAUCCUGCAUAAGAACAAGUGCUCUUAAUGGCGUGUCUCAUCCCAUGCCUUCUAUUUGAUUUGAGACAAGGUCUCAUAUAGCACAGGCUGGUGUUGAAAUUGCUGUAUAGAUGAAAGUGAUCUUGAACCCCUCAUCCUCUUGCCUCCAUGUUCCCUGUUUCCAGACUCCUGUCUUUUGCUUGUGUGUUCUGUGGAAAGAAAAGAUGAGUGGGAAAUAAAGUUCAACUGGCUAACUUCCUCUUAAACAAUUCCUGGAGUGACCAGUCAAAUCAAAUGUGUUAAAAAAAAAAAAAAAAAA